GAUGAACGCUGGCGGCGUGCCUAAUACAUGCAAGUCGAGCGAACGAACGAGAAGCUUGCUUCUCUGAUGUUAGCGGCGGACGGGUGAGUAACACGUGGAUAACCUACCUAUAAGACUGGGAUAACUUCGGGAAACCGGAGCUAAUACCGGAUAAUAUUUUGAACCGCAUGGUUCAAAGGUGAAAGACGGUCUUGCUGUCACUUAUAGAUGGAUCCGCGCUGCAUUAGCUAGUUGGUAAGGUAACGGCUUACCAAGGCAACGAUGCAUAGCCGACCUGAGAGGGUUGUCGGCCACACUGGAACUGGAACACGGUCCAGACUCCUAAGGGAGGCAGGAGUAGGGAAACUUCCGGAAUUGGCGGAAGCCUUACGGAGCAAAGGCGCGUGGGUGAAUAAGGUCUUCCGAUCGUAAAACUCUGGUAAUAGGGAAAAACAUAUGUGGAAGGAACUGGGGACAUCUUGACGGUAACUAAUCAGAAAGCCACGGCUAACUACGUG
Molecule: ribosomal RNA, 497 nt
Filed under: uncultured bacterium
Lineage: Bacteria
Description: partial 16S ribosomal RNA
Rfam family: Bacterial small subunit ribosomal RNA
Source: RNAcentral